Molecule: ribosomal RNA, 367 nt
Filed under: uncultured bacterium
Lineage: Bacteria
Description: bacterial SSU rRNA
Rfam family: Bacterial small subunit ribosomal RNA
Source: RNAcentral
AACGAACGCUGGCGGCAGGCCUAACACAUGCAAGUCGAACGCUCCGCAAGGGGAGUGGCGCACGGGUGAGUAACACGUGGGAACCUACCUUCUGGUACGGAACAACCAAGGGAAACUUUGGCUAAUACCGUAUACGACCUCCGGGUGAAAGAUUUAUCGCCGGAAGAGGGGCCCGCGUCCGAUUAGGUAGUUGGUGGGGUAAUGGCCUACCAAGCCGACGAUCGGUAGCUGGUCUGAGAGGAUGGCCAGCCACACUGGGGCUGAGACACGGCCCAGACUCCUACGGGAGGCAGCAGUGGGGAAUAUUGGACAAUGGGCGCAAGCCUGAUCCAGCCAUGCCGCGUGAGUGAUGAAGGCCUGGUUGUAA